UUCAACAGCAAUUUUCUCUCGGUGGUGAGUUUGAAUGCCCGUGUGGCUAGAAGUGAUAAUUUUUUAACAUUUUGUAUGUUUUUCUAAAUUCAUAAAUUGGUAUAAAAAAGUCAGUUUUCUACAUGUCAUAGCAUGAUUUCGCUUUAUCAUGUGAAAAUAUUGUUUCUUUUUAGAUGUAAUAACAGUAAUAAGUCUAUUUUCAGAAUACUAUAUCAACAGAGAAACGUUUGUUCAAAAUAUAUUUGCUUUCUUUUAAAAAAGCGGAAAAGAAGAAAACAAAUUCAACUCACUCCCAACAAUGUACAACGUGAGAUUAGCUAAAAUGUAAACAUCAACAUAAGCCAAUCGCAAACAGUGACGAGACGAUUUUAACUACGCAAAGCAUUGCUCUGGCUAACAGCACACAUCAUGAUUCACGAUGAGCCGCCAUAUGUCAGCAAUGAUUUCUCGUCGGAAUUCUCACCUUUCCCAAAAACCGACCGAAACACAGUAGUAAACAAACAUUCGAAAAAAUCACAUUUCAACUUACGUCACUCCGCAAAACAAGCGUGGAUUUUUUCCGUCGUCCAAGUCAAGUGAAAAAUUCUGGACAGAGCCUCUUUCAACUCACUGCUGGUGUGAAAAGCACAUGCACAAGGUUUCCUCCUGUGGUUUUUUUUCCUAUCUGCGUGUUUAGCGUGAAACACAAAACAAACCUCGAAAUCCUACCGGAACCGUUCGAUUAACAACCGCAAUCGUCGCUUUAUUGGGUUUCCUAGCUUCCGAACCGCACAAAAUGCAGAAUAAUUGAACCGAAAAUAGCAAAUCAAAUGCUCACUCUUGCACAGAAUAGUGAAAAUAAA
Molecule: long non-coding RNA, 842 nt
Organism: Wyeomyia smithii (pitcher-plant mosquito)
Lineage: Eukaryota; Metazoa; Arthropoda; Insecta; Diptera; Culicidae
Exons: 2
Source: RefSeq, a predicted model, not a curated record